AUGGAUGCCUUGGGACACUUAUCCGCAUCACUGGAACCCCCAGAAAAGUGUUGCUUUAGCCUUCUCACUCCACCAUGGACUAUCUUGCCACACAAUGUACACUGGAGUAAAUCUUUCCUCUCUAAAUCUGGCCAGAACCCAUACUUCCAGGCUGGAUCAUCUGAUGUAGCUCUUCUCCUAGGAUCAUUGGCUAGAUCCAUCAGAGCAGGUACACCUGGCUACUGUCAAAGAAAAAGAGAGAAGAGCCAAAUCACUAGAGCAGCCAGAUCAAGCAUGGGGAAGGAGAGAAGCAGUGGUGGGGCUGCUGCCUUGUGGGUGGAGAAGCAGAUCUGGGAAGAAACAGAUGCAGAUGAGAAGGAGCAGGCAAGCACAUCUAGCUACACUGCUGUGCAUAAGAGAGGCAGCACCUAA
RNAcentral lists this ribosomal RNA (411 nucleotides) under Triticum aestivum (bread wheat). RNAcentral's name for it is "partial small subunit ribosomal RNA". Lineage: Eukaryota; Viridiplantae; Streptophyta; Magnoliopsida; Poales; Poaceae. The record is from RNAcentral.